Molecule: ribosomal RNA, 466 nt
Filed under: uncultured bacterium
Lineage: Bacteria
Description: partial 16S ribosomal RNA
Rfam family: Bacterial small subunit ribosomal RNA
Source: RNAcentral
UAUGCACGCUGGCGGCGUGCUUAACACAUGCAAGUCGAACGGAAAGGCCCAAGCUUGCUUGGGUGCUCGAGUGGCGAACGGGUGAGUAACACGUGGGUGAUCUGCCCUGCACUUUGGGAUAAGCCUGGGAAACUGGGUCUAAUACCGGAUAGGACCAUCGUUUAGUGUCGGUGGUGGAAAGUUUUUCGGUGUGGGAUGAGCUCGCGGCCUAUCAGCUUGUUGGUGGGGUAAUGGCCUACCAAGGCGUCGACGGGUAGCCGGCCUGAGAGGGUGUACGGCCACAUUGGGACUGAGAUACGGCCCAGACUCCUACGGGAGGCAGCAGUGGGGAAUAUUGCACUAUGGGCGCAAGCCUGAUGCAGCGACGCCGCGUGGGGGAUGACGGCCUUCGGGUUGUAAACUCCUUUCGCCAAGGACGAAGCGUUUUGUGACGGUACUUGGAGAAGAAGCACCGGCUAACUACGUG